RNAcentral lists this ribosomal RNA (358 nucleotides) under uncultured bacterium. RNAcentral's name for it is "bacterial SSU rRNA". It matches the Rfam family "Bacterial small subunit ribosomal RNA", at positions 8 to 350 of the family's 1533-position model. The record is from RNAcentral.
AGAGUUUGAUCCUGGCUCAGGAUGAACGCUAGCUACAGGCUUAACACAUGCAAGUCGAGGGGAAACGACAUCGAAAGCUUGCUUUUGAUGGGCGUCGACCGGCGCACGGGUGAGUAACGCGUAUCCAACCUGCCCAUCACUUGGGGAUAACCUUGCGAAAGUAAGACUAAUACCCAAUGACGUCUCUAGAAGACAUCUGAAAGAGAUUAAAGAUUUAUCGGUGAUGGAUGGGGAUGCGUCUGAUUAGCUUGUUGGCGGGGUAACGGCCCACCAAGGCGACGAUCAGUAGGGGGUUCUGGAGAGGAAGGUCCCCCCACGAUUGGAACUGGAGACACGGUCCAAACUCCUACGGGAGGCA